AAAAGCCUCCCCUCUCUCUCUCUCUCCUCUGUGUCUCAAACAACAAUCCCAUUCAGCCCUUUCUCUCUCGCCCUUUUUCCCUCUGUGUCGAAAGCAAUAAUCCCAUUAAGUAAAAACAGAGCAUUUUUUCAGGAAAAUAAUGCAUUCUUUUCCCUCUCUCUUUCUCUCUCUCUCUCUCUCUCAAAUCGACUCCAGCUUACUUUGACCCAAAAUCCGAUCUCGGAAGCGAAGCCAUUUCUCAUUCCUCCACUCCUCAUCUCCCGCCAUUGUUGACCAAAUGUUCGCGAGCUAUGUUGCCUUGUCU
Molecule: long non-coding RNA, 304 nt
Filed under: Jatropha curcas
Lineage: Eukaryota; Viridiplantae; Streptophyta; Magnoliopsida; Malpighiales; Euphorbiaceae
Description: long non-coding RNA (JCUR_LNC001668)
Source: RNAcentral